RNAcentral lists this ribosomal RNA (274 nucleotides) under uncultured Xylanimonas sp. RNAcentral's name for it is "partial 16S ribosomal RNA". It matches the Rfam family "Bacterial small subunit ribosomal RNA", at positions 896 to 1172 of the family's 1533-position model. The record is from RNAcentral. Lineage: Bacteria; Bacillati; Actinomycetota; Actinomycetes; Micrococcales; Promicromonosporaceae.
UAAACUCAAAGGAAUUGACGGGGGCCCGCACAAGCGGCGGAGCAUGCGGAUUAAUUCGAUGCAACGCGAAGAACCUUACCAAGGCUUGACAUGAACCGGAAACAUCUAGAGAUAGGUGCCCCGCAAGGUCGGUUCACAGGUGGUGCAUGGUUGUCGUCAGCUCGUGUCGUGAGAUGUUGGGUUAAGUCCCGCAACGAGCGCAACCCUCGUCCCAUGUUGCCAGCGGGUUAUGCCGGGGACUCAUGGGAGACUGCCGGGGUCAACUCGGAGGAAG